RNAcentral lists this ribosomal RNA (503 nucleotides) under uncultured Enterobacterales bacterium. RNAcentral's name for it is "bacterial SSU rRNA". It matches the Rfam family "Bacterial small subunit ribosomal RNA", at positions 30 to 520 of the family's 1533-position model. Lineage: Bacteria; Pseudomonadati; Pseudomonadota; Gammaproteobacteria; Enterobacterales. The record is from RNAcentral.
AUUGAACGCUGGCGGCAGGCCUAACACAUGCAAGUCGAACGGUAGCACAGAGGAGCUUGCUCCUUGGGUGACGAGUGGCGGACGGGUGAGUAAUGUCUGGGAAACUGCCCGAUGGAGGGGGAUAACUACUGGAAACGGUAGCUAAUACCGCAUAACGUCGCAAGACCAAAGAGGGGGACCUUCGGGCCUCUUGCCAUCGGAUGUGCCCAGAUGGGAUUAGCUAGUAGGUGGGGUAACGGCUCACCUAGGCGACGAUCCCUAGCUGGUCUGAGAGGAUGACCAGCCACACUGGAACUGUGACACGGUCCAGACUCCUACGGGAGGCAGCAGUGGGGAAUAUUGCACAAUGGGCGCAAGCCUGAUGCAGCCAUGCCGCGUGUAUGAAGAAGGCCUUCGGGUUGUAAAGUACUUUCAGCGAGGAGGAAGGCGUUGUGGUUAAUAACCGCAGCGAUUGACGUUACUCGCAGAAGAAGCACCGGCUAACUCCGUGCCAGCCGCCGCGG